Molecule: ribosomal RNA, 505 nt
Filed under: uncultured bacterium
Lineage: Bacteria
Description: bacterial SSU rRNA
Rfam family: Bacterial small subunit ribosomal RNA
Source: RNAcentral
AUGAACGCUAGCUACAGGCUUAACACAUGCAAGUCGAGGGGCAGCAUGUUGUGUGCUUGCACACAAUGAUGGCGACCGGCGCACGGGUGAGUAACGCGUAUCCAACCUGGCCCGCAGUAGGGAACAGCCCGGCGAAAGUCGGAUUAAUGCCCUAUGUCUUCCUUUGCAGGCAUCCAAUGAGGAGGAAAGAUUUAUCGCUGCGGGAUGGGGAUGCGUCUGAUUAGCUUGUCGGCGGGGGUAACGGCCCACCGAGGCUACGAUCAGUAGGGGUUCGUGAGAGGAAGGUCCCCCACCACUGGUACUGAGACACGGACCAGACUCCUACGGGAGGCAGCAGUGAGGAAUAUUGGUCAAUGGGCGAGAGCCUGAACCAGCCAAGUAGCGUGCAGGAACCGACUGCCCUAUGGGUUGUAAACUGCUUUUAUGCGGGGAUAAACUUCAGCACGUGUGCUGUUUUGCAGGUACCGCAUGAAUAAGGACCGGCUAAUUCCGUGCCAGCAGCCGC